This 528-nucleotide ribosomal RNA is filed under the name Stygocapitella sp. 227_10. RNAcentral's name for it is "partial large subunit ribosomal RNA". Lineage: Eukaryota; Metazoa; Annelida; Polychaeta; Parergodrilidae. The record is from RNAcentral.
UAGAAAGUAAUCUCACCUAUCACAACAUAUAAAAUUAUACUCUGUUAAAAUUAGUAAAUUAUAAACACUCUAUCUUAUAACUCGACCCUCUUUAAGGAGACUGUUUAACAAAAACAUAGCCUAUAACUUAACUUUAGGUACAACCCUGCCCUCUGAAAUUUUAACAGCCGAGGUAUCCUAACCGUGCUAAGGUAGCAUAAUCAUUUGCCUAUUAAUUAUAGGCUAGCAUGAACGGGAUCACUCACUUAAAUUUAUUUUCACUACAAUUAAAAUUAAACUUUAAGUUAAAAUACUAAAUUUUUAAGAAAGACAAAAAGACCCUGAAAACUAUUAGAAGAUAAUUAGUUGGGGCAACUAUAGACCAUAAACAGCGUCUAUUAAAAUUCGAAUUUUAAAAUUCAAAGCACGCAGUUACUUCAGGGAUAACAGACUAAUUGUAUUAUUUAGACCUAAUAAAUAAUAAAGAUUGGCACCUCGAUGUUGGCUUAUAAUUCCUUCAUAUAGUAACAUAUAUUGAUGGCAGCUGUC